Molecule: ribosomal RNA, 215 nt
Filed under: uncultured Chryseobacterium sp.
Lineage: Bacteria; Pseudomonadati; Bacteroidota; Flavobacteriia; Flavobacteriales; Weeksellaceae
Description: partial 16S ribosomal RNA
Rfam family: Bacterial small subunit ribosomal RNA
Source: RNAcentral
CUAAGGUAACGAUCCUACGGGAGGCAGCAGUAGGGAAUCUUCGGCAAUGGGGGCAACCCUGACCGAGCAACGCCGCGUGAGUGAAGAAGGUUUUCGGACCGUAAAGCUCUGUUGUAAGUCAAGAACGGGUGUGAGAGUGGAAAGUUCACACUGUGACGGUAGCUUACCAGAAGGGACGGCUAACUACGUGCCAGCAGCCGCGGUAAUAUCACCGA